AUUGAACGCUGGCGGCAGGCCUAACACAUGCAAGUCGAACGGUAACAGGAAACAGCUUGCUGUUUCGCUGGCGAGUGGCGGACGGGUGAGUAAUGUGUGGGAAACUGCCUGAUGGGGGUGGAUAAGUACUGGAAACGGUAGCUAAUACCGCAUAACGUCGCAAGACCAAGGAGGGGGAACUUCGGUCCUCUUGCCAUCGGAUGUGCCCAGGUGGGAUUAGCUAGUAGGUGGGGUAACGGCUCACCUAGGCGACGAUCCCUAGCUGGUCUGAGAGGAUGACCAGCCACACUGGAACUGAGACACGGUCCAGACUCCUACGGGAGGCAGCAGUGGGGAAUAUUGCACAAUGGGAGCAAGCCUGAUGCAGCCAUGCCGCGUGUAUGAAGAAGGCCUUCGGGUUGUAAAGUACUUUCAGCGGGGAGGAAGGGAGUAAAGUUAAUACCUUUGGUCAUUGACGUUACCCGAAGAAGAAGCACCGGCUAACUCCGUGCCAGCCGCCGCAGUAA
RNAcentral lists this ribosomal RNA (506 nucleotides) under uncultured bacterium. Its description in RNAcentral is "partial 16S ribosomal RNA". It matches the Rfam family "Bacterial small subunit ribosomal RNA", at positions 30 to 523 of the family's 1533-position model. The record is from RNAcentral.